Molecule: ribosomal RNA, 372 nt
Filed under: uncultured Glomeromycotina
Lineage: Eukaryota; Fungi; Glomeromycota
Description: eukaryotic LSU rRNA
Source: RNAcentral
UUGAAAGGGAAACGAUUGAAGUCAGUCGUACCGGCGGGUAAUCAGCCUUUCGGGUAUGAUUCUGUGGAGCGUGAGGAGUUAAACGCCUUCAUGCCUGCAUAUUCGUGCUCUUGGGUGUACUUGCUCGUGUGGUUGGUUAACAUCAAUUUUGGUGGUCAUAAAAUGACUGGAGGAAUGUAGCUUCGAUCUCGUAUUGAAGUGUUAUAGCCUUCGGUAGAUGUGAUGAUCGAGAUUGAGGAUUGCAACGGAUACCCUUCGGGGCUACCUGUCUGGUCUCUGAUCGUUGCUCUGGUGCCGAAAGCGUGCUUACGGUUAUCAAAGUCGAUGGUCAAUAGGUUAGAACGGGUUAAAUUCGUUAAGGAUGUUGACGUA